RNAcentral lists this small nucleolar RNA (131 nucleotides) under Castor canadensis (American beaver). Its description in RNAcentral is "Small nucleolar RNA SNORA75 (ENSCCNG00000007152.1)". It matches the Rfam family "Small nucleolar RNA SNORA75". Rfam says of the family: U23 belongs to the H/ACA class of snoRNAs. snoRNAs bind a number of proteins (including dyskerin, Gar1p and Nop10p in the case of the H/ACA class) to form snoRNP complexes. This class are thought to guide the sites of modification of uridines to pseudouridines by forming direct base pairing interactions with substrate RNAs. Targets include ribosomal and spliceosomal RNAs as well as the Trypanosoma spliced leader RNA (SL RNA) as possibly other, still unknown cellular RNAs. Lineage: Eukaryota; Metazoa; Chordata; Mammalia; Rodentia; Castoridae. The record is from Rfam by way of RNAcentral.
AUCUUCUCAUUGAACUCCUUUCUGUCAACUGGAGGCAGUUUAUGGAUAUGCACAAAAGGCUGUUCACAGAACUAACAUUACUUUACCUCUUGCUUUUACAGAAGUAUAUUUGGCUGUUUUGUGAGACAUUC